ACCUAGCAAAAAAAAAGUUCGGCAGUGACGACUACGCUUAAAUGUCGCCGUUGCGAAUUGCUCCAUUAAAUCAUCGCUACAUAGAAGCACCUUAAAACUACAAGGACAAAGUUAACCGUGCUUUUGACAAAUAAACGUAUAUGGAGCGGUAUCCGGGGUAACCAGCGUAAAUAAACAUUCAUUUUAGAUUCCUUUGUGCAUUAUAAGCGUUAUAAAAUUUCUUUCGGGAAAUUUUUAAGGUUUAUUUUGUGCUUAUUUUGAGGAAUAUUAAUUAUUUCGAAGUUAUAUUAAUCGGUUUUAGUUAUAAGUUUGUUCGUUUGUCAUUUUUAGGUAAGUGAUUUGGAGGCGUAAGCAGUUGAGUUUUAUUGUGCUGGCGAUUGCUUCCUUUAAAGUCCUCAAACAAGCAGUUUUUUGACAAAUUUGGCUCAUUGAAUGUUUUAGAUUUUAUUUCGCCCAGUUAGUUUUAUUCUACAAAAUCAAAGAUUCUCAAGCACCCAACACUUAUUAAACUGAUUAGAUCUAAAAGUGCUGUGCUCCAUUGACAAACCAAGCAAGGUUUUUGGAAAAAUUUUACUCAUUGCAUCCUAUAGUAUUUGUCUUCCAUAGUUCCAAUCUACAAAAGCAAAGAUGCCAAAAAUGAGUAAGAAGUCUGCUAAGACAACAAGACUCCAGAAUAAAGAAAAAUAUAUGUCCAGCAAGAUGGUAAAGAAAGACAGUGGUGACAAAAAGGAAAAUUUAGAAAUUCCUGGUAAGCCUAUAAAUUUGCAACAAAAGUUGCCCAAAGAUAUGGUUCCAGAGGAUAGUACCAGCAAGGUAAAAUUUAAUGAAAUUGUAACACAGUUUAAUAAGCGAAAAUCAUUGACGGUUAUUGAUGACAAUGAUGCAUUGUCAUCAAAAAUUGUCACUCAAAAGAAACAAAAAGUUAAUGAUUCCUUUAAAAAAAUAUCACCUAUAGAUAAAAUUGAAAAGAAGCCAGAACCUACUAGAACCAAUCACCCAACCAAGUUUGAACUAGCAUUAAGAGAAGGCCCCACCAUUGUAUGCAGUUGUUGUUUGCGAUUAUGGUUUCCCACUUCAUGUAAAAAAAUAGAUCUACAAGUACUAAAAAACAAAUUUGGAAACCAAUUCACUACACAAAUUUGCAAUGAUGGGGUUUUCUUCUGCAAGUCUUGCUCAUUAAAUAUUUAUAAAGGACAAUUGCCAAAGUUCUGGUCCGGCAAUCAUAAUAUUGUUCACCCUAUACCAGUUGAGCUAAAAGAUCUGACUAUCCUUGAAGAAAGGAUGGUGUCGGCCAGGUUACCUUUCAUGCAAAUCCGACAGGUAGGAUAUGCACGACAGUGUUACAUAACUGGCCAAAUAGUCAAUGUCCCUAUAAAUAUAGAUACUUCGACCAAAUUAUUGCCUAGAAAUGUAGAGGAGACACAAACUAUUCAGGUUAAGCUCAAGAGAAAAAUGAAUUAUAAAAAUGAUUAUCUCCUGGAAACCAUACGGCCCGCAGUUGUUCUAAAAGCGGCAAAAUUUUUGUGUCAACAACCUCUUUACAUACAAGAAGGCAUAAAGCAAUCAGAUGAUUGGGAAAAAAAUAUUAAUGGCUACUUAAGAUCUCAAGUAGAAUCCUCUGCACAGAUCUUAAAUGAAGGCUCAAAAGUGGUGGAACUGGAUUCUAAAACAGUGUGUAGUGAAAAUUUUGAAGAAUUGUUCGAUAAUGCGUUUUUCGAAACAAUGGAAGUGCCCCUAGAAUCUAAGAAUGACGAUAAAAAUAUUCAAAAAGAAUCUUCAAUUGAAAAAAACAAUUUAUACAAUUUAGAGGAAUUCUUAGAUGAAGAAGAAGAGCCUUUAAAUCCUGGGGGCCAAGAAACUUUGCUUGACAAAUGUAACCUAGAAAAUAUCUGUUUUGCCCCAGGAGAAGGUAAAACGCCAAUACAUUUGAUGCUUGACCAGUUUAGCGAUGAACUCUCAUUUCCUACACUUUUCUGUGGACAUGCUAAGCAAUUUCUUACAAAAUUCUCCUAUUCUGACCAGACGAAAAUACAACUCCAGCACAAAGACAGGCGAUUUGCAAGGACAGACUAUCUGUUGUAUACAUUUAAAAAACGUCAACUAAUCCAAUUAUCCAGUGCAAUUGCAACAUGUCUCAGAAAAAAGAGGAAUGAGGAUGGAAAAUAUACAGCUGGACAAGUAAGACAAGCAAAUUUUCUAGACCAGCUGAUUCGAAGUGACAUGGGAUUCCAUUUUCUUAGUAGAAUUGCAGGUUCACCUGCUUAUUGGAAGCACGAAAAGACAAAAUUACUGUGUAUGAUUCGCCAAUUUGGAAUCCCCACACUGUUUUUUACCGUGUCAGCAGCCGAAACAGCAUGGCCCGAAUUAAUCAAGGUAUUAGCACAAGUUGUUGAUCAAAAAGAUGUUACUUUAGAAGAGGCCGCGAGUAUGCCCUACUUAGAAAAAACUCGCUUAAUUAGAACAGAUCCGAUAACUUGUGCCAGAUACUUUGAUUAUCGGUUCAAACUGCUAUUUAAACAUAUGAAGAGUCAAAAUGGACCCUUUAAACAAAAUCCCAUAGAGCAUCAUUAUUACCGCAUAGAAUUUCAACAUCGUGGGUCUCCUCAUGUUCACGGGUUAUUGUGGUUAUCCAAUGCUCCAAAAUUCCAAGAAACACCAGAAAGUUUCAAAGAGUGUGCCGAAUUCGCGAACCGGUAUAUUACUUGUAAUAGUGAUUUAGAAAGUGUCCGUGAUAUAAUUCAGUUUAAUACGCAUCAUCAUUCUAAAUCGUGUCAAAAAGAAGUGCGGGGACACAAAGUUUGCAGGUAUGGUAUCCCAUUCCUGCCAAUGGAUAAAUCGGUAAUUCUAACGCCAAUAAAAAUUGACAAAACCAAGGAAGCGGAUUUACGUAAGGCCAUGUCUGAAAAGUUUUUAAUGAUAAUGCGUAGGCUUAAGGAUAAACCAGAUUUAUCAUUUGAAAACUUUUUGGCUGACCUUGGUAUGUCUAAGGAUGAGUAUCUUAAUGUUAUACAGCACAACAUAUUUAAAACCACUUUAUUUUUAGAAAGGCAGCCAAAAGAUGGAUUCAUUAAUAAUUUCAAUGCUGAGAUGUUCUCCAUGAUGAAGAGUAAUAUGGACAUUCAAUUAGUUUUUGAGCCAUAUGGUUGUUGCACCUACAUAGUCAACUAUAUCAAUAAGUCUCAAAGAGGUGUAUCUGAUAUUUUAAUGAAGACUAUGGAAGAAAUUAAAAAAGGUAAUUUAGAUGUUAAGGGCAAACUUAAAUCUCUUGCAGCAGCUUUCUUAAAUGCGAGCGAAGUUAGUGCCCAAGAAGCCGCCUACAGCGUGUUACAACUACCGAUGCAUGAUACCUGUACCUCCUAUGUAUACAUCCAUACAAAUCCAAUCAAGGAAAGGACAAAAAUGUUGAAACCAUUAACAGAACUUAAAGCCAUGGACAAUGAUGAUCCCAAUAUUUAUUGUGAUGGGCUUAUAGAACAUUAUGAGCAAAGACCCAAUGAGAUGGAAAACAUAUGUUUGGCAGAGUUUGCGGCCUACUAUGAUUUCUUUAAGAAACAAGCAGAAACAAAAGCUAAUGGUUUACCCUUAAAAGAUGGAAGUGGCGUUUUAGUUAAAAGGGGUCAUGCUAAAAUUUUAGCCUACCGUAGUUAUGGACUUCAGCAAGACCCUCUCAACUAUUAUAGGGAACAAAUAAUGUUAUACAUCCCAUGGAGAAAUGAAGUGGAUGAAGUUGAAAAUGAGAACAUUGAUCAACAGACCAUAUACAAAGAUCGAUACCAAGAAAUUGUUACAAAUCGACAAAAGUUCAAUGUCUUAGAUGAACAGGUAAUCGAUGAAGCACUGAAACUUGCCGAAGACCGAUCAAAUCAAUUAGACGAUGGUGGAUUCGGUGGAGAAAUCGAUGAUGAGUUUAUGCCUUAUGGACUAGACAACCCCAUUUAUGAUCCAUUCAAUCAUAUCAUCGAUAAGAAAGACGACGAAGCGCCAGUAAAACAUAUCGCUUUCCCAACGCCUCAUCAGAUAAGCGAUUCAGAGUAUGAAGCCCUCAUAAGCAAACUGAAUCACAAGCAGUAUCAGUUCCUUAAUGUCGUGCAAGACAGUCUAAUUGAAGGGGAAGCUUUCUACUGCACACUUAGUGGUCCAGCAGGUACAGGCAAAAGUCACCUGAUUACAGCAAUAACUCAGUCGUUAUUACGCCAUUUCAAUUCAAUACCAGGUAAUAAUCCCGAAAGUUUAAAAGUUUUACUUUGUGCGCCUACAGGUAAAGCGGCAUUUAAUAUCGGAGGUAUAACCUUACAUGCGGCAUUAUCGUUACCCGUCAGUCAGUAUGGUGAACAACUAAUUCCGUUACACCAUGACACUUUAAAUACUAUUUAUUGUAAUUUAUGUGACUUAAAACUAAUUAUUAUAGAUGAAUAUUCCAUGGUUGGUGCCAGAUUGUUUGACCAUAUUAAUAGUAGAUUGCAGCAAAUCUUUAAGUCUGACGCCAUCUUUGGAAAUAUUCCAAUAAUUUUAUGCGGCGAUAAUCGUCAAUUGCCCCCAGUAAGGGAUAUGUAUAUUUUUUGCCCAGUAAAAACAAAUCCGUAUAAAGAAUUAUGUGGAACUUAUUUGUGGGAUCAUUUUAGGUAUUUUGAGCUUACAGAAAUAAUGAGGCAAAAAGAAGACAAGUCUUUUGCAGUUGCCCUAAACAAUAUGGCGUUUGGUAAAAUGACCGAUGAAGAUGUGCAAUUGAUCAAGUCCAGGGAAGUUGACAAUAUUGAUCUAAUUCCUGAAGACACUAUGCAUUUAUUUGCCACCAAUAGAGAAGUAGAUGCAUUCAAUGAAAUGAAACUUUCUACAUUUCAGACCGAGCGAGCCGUAAGUCAAGCCAGAGAUGUAAUCAAAGGAAGUUGCUCAGAACGAUUAAAACAUUUAUUUUUAGAACAUGCUAAAAGUUUAAAAAAAUCAGAGAGUUUUGGCCUAAUGUUAAAUUUAAUAUUGCAGGUAGAUGCUAAAUACAUGAUUUCAAUGAAUAUAGAUACCAGUGAUGGGAUAGUCAAUGGUGCUACAGGUAUCCUGCGUCAAAUAGACUAUGACCAAAAUAAAGUUCCAUACAGAGUGUGGAUGGAGUUCUUUGAUUCCAAGUCAGGCAAGGAAUGCCGAAAGAGAAACGAGUCCCUUAGGAAGUCUAUGUAUUUAUCACCCACUUGGACACCCAUAGAAAGAGCUGCAAGAGCUGUUAAAAUUCAAAAAGGCAGCAAUGUUCACGUUGAGCGUCUUCAGUUUCCUCUUUUAAUCAGUGAAGGAAUUACAAUCCACAAAAGUCAAGGUGCCACCUAUGAACAAGUAGCUGUUCACAUUGGUAAUGGAAUGACGAGAACCAGUACCUAUGUGGCAUGCAGUCGGGCUACAAAGCUAAGUGGCCUCUACAUAAUUGUGAUCCAUUUGUAUUCCAGAUUCUAUUUUAAUCGUGAUCAAUCAGCAGCCUUUAAUUUGAAGAAAACGCAUUCAACGGACUUGACAAUGACAAGUGGAUACAUCCUUUUAUGGCAAGAAGUUGGAUGGCUUAAAAUUUAAUUAUUGGUGAGGACUUUUCGUGUUGUUAAUAUUUUAUUACAUUUUUUCAUUCUAGGUCUAUAAAAAAAAAAAACAAGAAGUUUUAUGGUAUAAUCCAAAGCUGCAAAACUUCGACUGGAAUGAAUUGAAUGAAUUGACGAAACAGUGGGCUGCCAAGGCAGUUGUGCAUAUAGGUCUCCUGAGGGACCCGUCAUGCCCCACCGGGGGUUACCAGAGCCCAACGGCCUUAGAGAAACCGAUAAGGCUCUCUGGUCUGAAGGACUUAAAGUCGCUCGGUACACUGAAAGUGUUACCCAAGUAUUUGAACCUGGCGCGCGUGAGUGCUGGGCACUCCCCGACUACAUGGUCAACGGUUUCAUCCUCCUCACAGCACCAUCGUCAUUCCGGGUUGUCCGCAAUACCGAUAGUAUGGAGAUGGCUUCUUAAGUGCCAGUGAC
Molecule: unclassified non-coding RNA, 5990 nt
Filed under: Anthonomus grandis grandis
Lineage: Eukaryota; Metazoa; Arthropoda; Insecta; Coleoptera; Curculionidae
Description: uncharacterized LOC126736192
Source: RNAcentral